RNAcentral lists this ribosomal RNA (1744 nucleotides) under Plagiostomum striatum. RNAcentral's name for it is "SSU rRNA". It matches the Rfam family "Eukaryotic small subunit ribosomal RNA". The record is from RNAcentral. Lineage: Eukaryota; Metazoa; Platyhelminthes; Prolecithophora; Plagiostomidae.
CAUGUNUAAGUGCACGUACUGCUAUGCCAAACCGCGGAUGGCUCAUUAAAUCAGCUAUGAUUGAUCAAGCACAGUUCUCCUAAACGGAUAACUGUAGUAAUUCUAGAGCUAAUACGUGCCAAAUAUGUCCUGAUCGUAAGAGAGGGAUGGCUUUAUUAGAUCAAAACUAACCGGGCCUCGGCUUGAUUGGUUUGAUGACUCUGGAUAACGUUUCAAAUCGCAUGACCUCGAGUCGGCGAUAUGCUUGACAAAUGUCUGCCCUAUCAACUAUAGACGGUAGGAUAGUGGCCUACCGUGGUGAUAACGGGUAACGGGGAAUCAGCGUUCGAUUCCGGAGAGGGAGCCUGAGAAAUGGCUACCACAUCCAAGGAAGGCAGCAGGCGCGCAAAUUACCCCUUCUCAGUACGAGGAGGUAGUGACGAAAAAUAACAAAUAUCAUUCCCUAGUGGUUUGAUAUAUUGGAAUGAGUGAAGUUUAAUAACACUUCACGAGUAUCAAAUGGAGGGCAAGUCUGGUGCCAGCAGCCGCGGUAAUUCCAGCUCCAUUAGCGUAUAUUAAAGUUGUUGCAGUUAAAAUGCUCGGAGUUGAAUGAUCAUUACGGAGACCUUGUACGUGUUUAUACAUGUUACUUGGUCGAUGUGAUAUGGAGUUGAUCAUGUCAUUAAUGCUCUUCAUUGAGUGUUAUUGGUAUUCAACAAGUUUACUUUGAAAAAAUUAGAGUGCUCAAAGCAGGCUAUAGCCUGAAUACUAGUGCAUGGAAUAAUGGAAUAGGACUUCGGUUCUAUUUUGUUGGUUUUCAGAACAGAAGUAAUGAUUAAAAGGGACUGACGGGGGCAUUUGUAUGGCUGGGGGAGAGGUGAAAUUCGCAGAUCCUAGCCAGACAAACUACUGCGAAAGCAUUUGCCAAGAAUGUUUUCAUUAAUCAAGAACGAAAGUCAGAGGAUCGAAGGCGAUCAGAUGCCGCCCUAGUUCUGACCAUAAACUAUGCCAUCUGGUAAUCCGUUUGGGAUAUCAUAUUUCCUUACGGGCAGCCCCUGGGAAACCUCAAGUUUCUCGGUUCUGGGGGUAGUAUGGUAGCAAUGCUGAAACUUAAAGGAAUUGACGGAAGGGCACCACCAGGAGUGGAGCCUGUUGCUUAAUUUGACUCAACACGGGAAAACUUACCCGGCCCGGACUUCGAAAGGAUUGACAGAUUGAGAGCUCUUUCUUGAUACGGAGGAUGGUGGUGCAUGGCCGUUUUUAGUUGGUGGAGUGAUUUGUCUGGUUAAUUCCGAUAACGAACGAGACUCUAGCCUACUAAAUAGUGAAUUGAUAUAUUUAUAUAUGUCAAUAUUGACUUCUUAGAGGGACAGGCGGGUCCUAAACCGCAUGAAAAAGAGCAAAAACAGGUCUGUGAUGCCCUUAGAUGUCCGGGGCCGCAAACGCGCUACACUGGCAGUAUCAGAAAGUAAUUUCCAAUGCCGAAACGGAGGGGAACCUUUAUAAUAACUGUCGUGACAGGGAUCGUGGUUUGUAAUUAUCCCACGUGAACGAGGAAUUCCCAGUAAGUGCUUGUCAUUAGCAAGCGCUGAUUACGUCCCUGCCCUUUGUACACACCGCCCGUCGCUACUACCGAUUGGAUGGUUUAGUGAGGUUAUUGGAUCGGUGUUAGUGAGAUGGUCAAACGUCUUACCGACGCUGAGAAGAUAAUCAAACUUGGCCAUUUAGAGGAAGUAAAAGUCGUAACAAGGUUUCCGUAGUGAAC